RNAcentral lists this ribosomal RNA (862 nucleotides) under Microbacterium sp. RNAcentral's name for it is "bacterial SSU rRNA". It matches the Rfam family "Bacterial small subunit ribosomal RNA", at positions 45 to 920 of the family's 1533-position model. Lineage: Bacteria; Bacillati; Actinomycetota; Actinomycetes; Micrococcales; Microbacteriaceae. The record is from RNAcentral.
UGCUACACAUGCAAGUCGAACGGUGAAGCCAAGCUUGCUUGGUGGAUCAGUGGCGAACGGGUGAGUAACACGUGAGCAACCUGCCCUGGACUCUGGGAUAAGCGCUGGAAACGGCGUCUAAUACUGGAUAUGAGCUCUCAUCGCAUGGUGGGGGUUGGAAAGAUUUUUUGGUCUGGGAUGGGCUCGCGGCCUAUCAGCUUGUUGGUGAGGUAAUGGCUCACCAAGGCGUCGACGGGUAGCCGGCCUGAGAGGGUGACCGGCCACACUGGGACUGAGACACGGCCCAGACUCCUACGGGAGGCAGCAGUGGGGAAUAUUGCACAAUGGGCGGAAGCCUGAUGCAGCAACGCCGCGUGAGGGAUGACGGCCUUCGGGUUGUAAACCUCUUUUAGCAGGGAAGAAGCGAGAGUGACGGUACCUGCAGAAAAAGCGCCGGCUAACUACGUGCCAGCAGCCGCGGUAAUACGUAGGGCGCAAGCGUUAUCCGGAAUUAUUGGGCGUAAAGAGCUCGUAGGCGGUUUGUCGCGUCUGCUGUGAAAUCCCGAGGCUCAACCUCGGGCCUGCAGUGGGUACGGGCAGACUAGAGUGCGGUAGGGGAGAUUGGAAUUCCUGGUGUAGCGGUGGAAUGCGCAGAUAUCAGGAGGAACACCGAUGGCGAAGGCAGAUCUCUGGGCCGUAACUGACGCUGAGGAGCGAAAGGGUGGGGAGCAAACAGGCUUAGAUACCCUGGUAGUCCACCCCGUAAACGUUGGGAACUAGUUGUGGGGACCAUUCCACGGUUUCCGUGACGCAGCUAACGCAUUAAGUUCCCCGCCUGGGGAGUACGGCCGCAAGGCUAAAACUCAAAGGAAUUGACGGGGAC